Molecule: small nucleolar RNA, 103 nt
Filed under: Myotis brandtii (Brandt's bat)
Lineage: Eukaryota; Metazoa; Chordata; Mammalia; Chiroptera; Vespertilionidae
Description: Small nucleolar RNA SNORA70
Rfam family: Small nucleolar RNA SNORA70
About the family: snoRNA U70 seems to be exclusive to mammals and is a member of the H/ACA class of snoRNA which contain H (ANANNA) and ACA box motifs. H/ACA box snoRNAs are involved in the conversion of uridines to pseudouridines (5-ribosyluracil) a constituent of structural RNAs (transfer, ribosomal, small nuclear, and small nucleolar).
Source: Rfam by way of RNAcentral
CUGCAGCCAAUUAAGCCGACCAUGCUCUUUUCCCCAUGGGGGCCUGGUGUGCAAUGGCUGCAAACAGCAGCAUCCUUGGUAGUGUACGCAACCUGAGAUGGCU